This 122-nucleotide transfer RNA is filed under the name Salmonella enterica. RNAcentral's name for it is "tRNA-OTHER". It matches the Rfam family "tRNA". Rfam says of the family: Transfer RNA (tRNA) molecules are approximately 80 nucleotides in length. The record is from RNAcentral. Lineage: Bacteria; Pseudomonadati; Pseudomonadota; Gammaproteobacteria; Enterobacterales; Enterobacteriaceae.
GCGAAGGUGGCGGAAUUGGUAGACGCGCUAGCUUCAGGUGUUAGUGUCCUUACGGACGCGCGCUAGCUUCAGGUGUUAGUGUCCUUACGGACGUGGGGGUUCAAGUCCCCCCCCUCGCACCA